UGUUGGUGCAAGGCAGGUUCCCCUCCCCACCCUCCCUCCUUCCUUCCUCUAUUUUUUCCUGCGCCCCCCAUCUCUAAUAUCAUUUUCACCCACCCACAGCGACGCUGCGUGUUUGUAAUUUUCUUCUGACCCUAAUGGCUCCAGUUUCCCCUCAGUAUUUAAGCAGAACAAGACAGAGCCCAGCCCGCACCUCCUCCGGGCAGGACUCCACAGCCUCCUCUGGGCUCGCCGAAAACCCUGUCCUU
Molecule: long non-coding RNA, 245 nt
Filed under: Sus scrofa (pig)
Lineage: Eukaryota; Metazoa; Chordata; Mammalia; Artiodactyla; Suidae
Description: lncRNA (ENSSSCG00070004944.1)
Source: RNAcentral